This 496-nucleotide ribosomal RNA is filed under the name uncultured bacterium. RNAcentral's name for it is "partial 16S ribosomal RNA". It matches the Rfam family "Bacterial small subunit ribosomal RNA", at positions 29 to 507 of the family's 1533-position model. The record is from RNAcentral.
AUGAACGCUGGCGGCGUGCCUAAUACCUGCCAGUCGAGCGAACGGACGAGAAGCUUGCUUCUCUGAUGUUAUCGGCGGACGGGUGAGUAACACGUGGAUAACCUACCUAUAAGACUGGGAUAACUUCGGGAAACCGGAGCUAAUACCGGAUGAUAUUUUGAACCGCAUGGUUCAAAAGUGAAAGACGGUCUUGCUGUCACUUAUAGAUGGAUCCUCGCUGCAUUAGCUAGUUGGUAAGGUAACGGCUUACCAAGGCAACGAUGCAUAGCCGACCUGAGAGGGUGAUAGGCCACACUGGAACUGAGACACGGUCCAGACUCCUACGGGAGGCAGCAGUAGGGAAUCUUCCGCAAAGGGCGAAAGCCUGACGGAGCAACGCCGCGUGAGUGAUGAAGGUCUUCGGAUCGUAAAACUCUGUUAUUAGGGAAGAACAUAUGUGUAAGUAACUGUGCACAUCUUGACGGUACCUAAUCAGAAAGCCACGGCUAACUACGUG